Molecule: ribosomal RNA, 279 nt
Filed under: uncultured bacterium
Lineage: Bacteria
Description: partial 16S ribosomal RNA
Rfam family: Bacterial small subunit ribosomal RNA
Source: RNAcentral
UGCCAGCCGCCGCGGUAAUACGGAGGGUGCAAGCGUUAAUCGGAAUUACUGGGCGUAAAGCGCGCGUAGGCGGCUAGGUCAGUCAGAUGUGAAAUCCCCGGGCUCAACCUGGGAACUGCAUUUGAUACUGCCUAGCUAGAGUAUGUUAGAGGAAUGCGGAAUUCCAGGUGUAGCGGUGAAAUGCGUAGAUAUCUGGAGGAACAUCAGUGGCGAAGGCGGCAUUCUGGAACAAUACUGACGCUGAGGUGCGAAAGCGUGGGGAGCAAACAGGAUUAGAUA